This 253-nucleotide ribosomal RNA is filed under the name uncultured bacterium. RNAcentral's name for it is "partial 16S ribosomal RNA". It matches the Rfam family "Bacterial small subunit ribosomal RNA", at positions 524 to 776 of the family's 1533-position model. The record is from RNAcentral.
GACGAAGGGGGCUAGCGUUGUUCGGAAUUACUGGGCGUAAAGCGCGUGUAGGCGGUUGUCCAAGUUGGAUGUGAAAGCCUUGAGCUUAACUCAAGAAAUGCAUUCAGGACUGGAUGACUAGAGGACCGGAGAGGAUAGUGGAAUUCCCAGUGUAGUGGUGAAAUACGUAGAGAUUGGGAAGAACACCAGUGGCGAAGGCGGCCCCCUGGUUGGAUACUGACGCUGAGACGCGAAAGCGUGGGGAGCAAACAGG